Long non-coding RNA from Scophthalmus maximus (turbot), 515 nucleotides. RefSeq lists it as uncharacterized. NCBI's taxonomy places the organism in Eukaryota, Metazoa, Chordata, Actinopteri, Pleuronectiformes, Scophthalmidae. The record is from RefSeq and is a predicted model, not a curated record. The transcript has 6 exons.
UCCACGUGAGCUCUGCGGGCCAAUCAGCGGGGCCGCCGCUCGGCGCCGGCCUGUAUAAAUGCAGAGCGGACGCUCCUCCCGGUCCCUUCCUCUUCUCGUCCUCCUCGAAGCGACGGACGUCCACGCCUCACCGCGAUUUGAACCGGCCAUGGCGCCAUUCGCCAUCUACAGCCAUGGAAGUCUGCGGACAAAGCCGAAGGUAUUGGCUGUUGCCCGUGGGAAGUCAAAGUGCAGGAAACGCAUUGCUUGCGGGUGACUAUGGCUGACAAAGAAGUGGAUGAGGAAGCCUCAUGUCGAGGCAUACGUCUGAUGAUCUAAAGUCUACCGUCGGGCUGUGGGCUGUCAAACCUUUCAUGGUUUAAGGUACACUGACCUGGGAAGCCUUGACCUGUCUGGGUGGGCUGCUGCAGGCCGCCCACAAAGGGCAACAGUCAACUGUGAAGCUUCACAAUGUUCUGAGUUAACAAAAUGGUCAUGAACUGUAAAUUACGAUGCAAUAAACAACUUGUAUACUA